GAUAUAUUUCGCUCGACGGCCAUGAUUAUACUAUAUUAAGCGAUUCACAAAUUACAUAUGAUGCAUGAUUUGGUAUUCAUUCCAACCCCCAAGCCAUUUGUCAUGGCCUGACACCCUGACACUUCUGACCACCUGUUGUGACGCACUGGAAAUCUUGAAUGUUGUUGUAAAUGUAAAAGAAAUAUUGUUUAUUGGUGUCUCAGUGUUAUAGCCUUGAUUAUAAACCAGAGAUUAAAUUUGCAAAGAUAAACCCCGUUCAAGGUAAGAUUAGUAUUUUUAAAAAUAUGCUGGAAGUGCGACCAGGAUUGAACAUAUUUAAAUGGUUUUCAAACGUUCUCUGGUUGGAAAUGUUUAUUUAUCACAAGCUUUCGGCUGCCAAACUGCAGCCUUCGACCGCGGGUAGUUAUAUAAAAUACAAUAAUUACAGACGAGUAUAAACGGUUUUAUAGGCGUAUACUUUGCGUGGCGUAGGCAAACUUCCCUUGAGCGUAUACUUUGUAAUUGUAUUAUUGUAUAAAACCGUAUAUACUCGUCUGUAAUUAUUGUAUUUUAUAUAACUACCCGCGGUCGAAGGCUGCAGUUUGGCAGCCGAAAGCUUGUGAUAAAUAAACAUUUCCAACCAGAGAACGUUUGAAAACCAUUAUGGCAGUAAGAUUUAAUAGUAGUCUCAAUUACUGUAAUGACCAGACUGGGCUGAAGUUGCUGAACACUGACACUGUAUAAUUUUUCAUGAACGUUUUAUAUUCUUUCCGUUUAUCCCUAUCCAAGUCGAAAUUAACAACUACUAGCUAAAACAUGAGCAGCCGAUCUUUAUGUGAUAUACAAAUUCGAGCCGAAGGCGAGCGUGCUUAUAAAACGACCCACAGGCAUAGUUUAUUGGCGAAGUAAUUUUAAAAAUGAAAGUUGUGAUUGCUGUCUAUGCCAAGAAGAUCAAAGCUGAAGUUUAUGUAAAUCAGAACAAAUCUUUAUCAGAUUUACAAACACUGAUUAAACAUUCAUUUCUUUUGUAUUUUCCUCGUGAAUUAUUAAUGAUUUUAUAAAUGCAUACACGAAAUCGACAGCUCACAGCACCACGUACAUGUAAAAUUUAAUUAUGAAUGCAAUACUGCAAAGGCCUGCAAAGCUUUCGAUCCGUAUAAAGAAGCAUUUAUAGCCGCCCGGAUGUUCACCAUCGAAGUUUGGCUUGUAUUUUUCAGUGUGUUGUUGAAACUCUCUCAGUCCGCAGCUUUUUGUUAUUUUAAUAUGAUAAUAUAGGAUAAUUUAUCGUCGUUUCCAAUUACACUGUCACAAUAACAAACAAUAUCAUGCAAUUCAAAAGUAAAAAAGAAAUGAUUCGCUAAAUGAUUUUGUAAACAGAUGCGAAAGUCGAUAUAUUUCUGAGUACGCGCUCGUUGUGUGGCGCAUGUCUUUAAUUGAAUAUUUGCCGUACUUGUUUUGCUCAUGGAAAUGGAACAAUGACAUAUAAAACGUACCGGUUUACCAAAUAGUAAACGCCUACUAAAGGGUCUUUCGCUUUUAUUUUUAGAUUCGUAUUGGUUGGAUCGAGAGUUGGAUUCUCUGUUGUAGAUAUAUUUUCAUGGAAAACAAACGAGGCAAUUUCAAUGAAUGCUUACAGUAAAGGCCUACACAGAACGGGCGCGAAUUGGCUAAGCGACGCGAAUUUUCAAUUUGCAAUGGCAUUUAACUGUUAUAAUAUUUUUCUAUGUUUUUCAAAUAUUUGGAACCAGUUAAGAAAUUUUAGGUAUUUGGUCAGCAUCAUAUGGAAAUUUUUAUCCACUGACGGUUAAAAAUUUUGUUCUUAUUUAAAAACUGAAAAUUGCGUCGCGUUGUCGAAUCGCGUCCGGUGUGUCUGGACAUUGAUACUACCAGAAUUUAUUAUUUUAAUAUAAAUGUUUACAAGAAAAUAACAUAGGCAGCAGGAAUUUCUGCUCAUUCAAUACAUGUAAAUAAGUAGUAUAUUCCAAAAUCACUGUUAUAUCUAUUUUUAUAAAUUAAUGUCUAAAAAGUCCACACUUGUAUAGAAAUACACAACAACGCCAACGGUAACCUCCGAAUAUAAAAGACAACAUUUUUUAUUCAACGACAACGUUUCGCGAUUUUAAUAUUUUAGUGUCAUCAUUAGAAACGGAUAAUGUUACAAGUAACAUAGUCAUAAUAAUGCCAAUAUAUACAGAUAGUUUGUAAUAUAGUGCCAAUAUAUACAGAUAGUUUGUAAUUUAUUGGUUUAUAUAUCCUCGUAAUAUAGAAUUUGAUAAAACUUUAAAUCGAUAAAUAAGAUAAUACCAGUAAUGUUGAUUAAUUUUCUAGCCACUGCACAUUGAAUAGAAGGAAAAGCAAAUCCG
Molecule: long non-coding RNA, 2342 nt
Filed under: Paramuricea clavata
Lineage: Eukaryota; Metazoa; Cnidaria; Anthozoa; Malacalcyonacea; Plexauridae
Source: RNAcentral